UUGCUUUGGCAGCACAUAUAUUAAAGUUGGAAUGAUACAGAAAUUAGCAUGGCCCAUGCGCAAGGAUGACACGCAAAUUCAUGAAUCGUUCCAUAUUUUU
Molecule: small nuclear RNA, 100 nt
Filed under: Vombatus ursinus (common wombat)
Lineage: Eukaryota; Metazoa; Chordata; Mammalia; Diprotodontia; Vombatidae
Source: RNAcentral